Molecule: ribosomal RNA, 717 nt
Filed under: uncultured bacterium
Lineage: Bacteria
Description: bacterial SSU rRNA
Rfam family: Bacterial small subunit ribosomal RNA
Source: RNAcentral
CAGUCGAACGAAGCAUAUAAAAGGAAUUUCUUCGGAGAGGAAUUUUCUAUGACUGAGUGGCGGACGGGUGAGUAACGCGUGGGCAACCUACCCCACACAGGGGGACAACAGUUGGAAACGACUGCUAAUACCGCAUAGGCGCACAGCUUCGCAUGAAGCAGUGUGGAAAACCGAGGUGGUGUGGGAUGGGCCCGCGUCUGAUUAGCUGGUUGGCGGGGUAACGGCCCACCAAGGCGACGAUCAGUAGCCGGCCUGAGAGGGUGGACGGCCACAUUGGGACUGAGACACGGCCCAAACUCCUACGGGAGGCAGCAGUGGGGAAUAUUGCACAAUGGGGGAAACCCUGAUGCAGCGACGCCGCGUGAGCGAAGAAGUAUUUCGGUAUGUAAAGCUCUAUCAGCAGGGAAGAAAAUGACGGUACCUGACUAAGAAGCCCCGGCUAAAUACGUGCCAGCAGCCGCGGUAAUACGUAUGGGGCAAGCGUUAUCCGGAUUUACUGGGUGUAAAGGGAGCGCAGGCGGCUUGGCAAGUCUGAUGUGAAAGGCUGGGGCUCAACCCCAGGACUGCAUUGGAAACUGUUAGGCUGGAGUGUCGGAGAGGUAAGCGGAAUUCCUAGUGUAGCGGUGAAAUGCGUAGAUAUUAGGAGGAACACCAGUGGCGAAGGCGGCUUACUGGACGACAACUGACGCUGAGGCUCGAAAGCGUGGGGAGCAAACA